Molecule: long non-coding RNA, 2032 nt
Filed under: Nicotiana benthamiana
Lineage: Eukaryota; Viridiplantae; Streptophyta; Magnoliopsida; Solanales; Solanaceae
Description: long non-coding RNA (NBEN_LNC038373)
Source: RNAcentral
GGGACCCGCCUGGAACCGCCAGAAUCGCGGUUCCGGAACCGCCAGAACCGGAACCGGGCGGUUCCGGAACCGUAUGGUAGCGGUUCCGGCUCCGGAACCGCCAGAACCGCCAGGACCGGAACCGCCAGAACCGCCAGGACCGGAACCGCCAGGACCGGAACCGCCAGAACCGGAACUGCAGACCCAAAUAGACCCAGAACGGAACCGGAUACAGCCUUAGUCUGACUGGUGCAUUUUUUGGAGUCUUCUUCUCCAAUUUUAUCCUGAAGACCUCCACAAAAACCAGACCUUCCCCUCCACCAACGCCGUUGCUUUCUCAGUCUUCACUCCCUCCCCUGUUCCUCCUCUUCAUUUCUCCGUGUAAAGACCCCUGUUCUUCUUCCUCACUUUAGAGCAGAAACACUCUCUUCUCAGCCAUGUAAUUACCCAAAUCCUAGCUCCAAAACUCCCGAAAUCACAACUGAAAAAUCCGUCACAAACUUUAGCCAUGAAACAAUCUUGAAAUAGUCCCAAAAAUCAUGUGAAGAUUGGCUCCUUCCUUACCAAUCUGUUUUUCUUUCUGUGUUUGAGAUUCCGGGUAAAGCCAGAGGUCAAAGUUUGAGGUUGCGUUCGAGUCUUCGUUUAUAUAGCUGUCCGAGCUUAGUUGUUGCUUAAUUUUUGAGAUUCUUGAGCUGUGUUGGUAUAAGAAUGUGCUGUUUGUUGCUGUCCCUGUGCGCCGAGUUUCCUUCUUCUACUCCUUACCUUUAUUUGGCUUUUGUCAUCCUGCUUGCCCCCUUGCAUUUAAGGUACACACAGAAUCCCAUUUUGUUGUGCUGAUUUGUGAGAUUAAUGUGUAACUCAAUUUUGCCUUUGUUUAUAAUCCUAUACUUGCUUGAGGAUAAAUUCCUACUUCUGUUAAGAUUUAGUUGUUUCAUGCAAUGGGGUAUAUAUUCUGAAUUUGUUCAUUGGGUUGCUGUGGUUUUAUUUAUUUAUUUAUUUAUUUUAUCUGUUUGGUUGGAGGCAAUUUUAAAGAAGUUACUUUCAAUAAUUUGUACUGCAAUGCGAAAUUGGUUUUGUUGAACUAUGUUUGAUUAUAAACAUUUUGAGCUAAUUAAAAGAAUAGAGCAAUGCCAACUUUAUAAUUAUUUGUUAUUCUUGUAAAGUUGAAAGUGCUGCCACGAGGUUGUGAUUUAUAUGCCCUUCAAACGGUUUCUGAAAUUGGAUAAUUAGUGUUGGACUUUCUAGUCCAAAAUUGUGUUGAAACAGCAACCUCAUUGAUUGGUGUUGGAAAUUAAAGCACUGACACUUUCUUUUAUAAUUUUUUUCUUGCUCACCUAGUUUUAGGUAAAUUGCACAUAAAUGUCAGGAUGCAAAUGAGAGUUCGUCGUUGGAAUUUGAAGAUGACCAGCGGCAUAUCCGGUGAUCUAAGCAGAUUGAAAUUAAUAUACGUAGCUAAAUUAUAUCCGCGAAUAUUUGUUGUACUUUGAAGAACUGUUAACACAAUUUUUAUGCAUAUCUGAAUUUAGUUGUGUGACCCUAUUUGACUUUGUUUUUGCCAUCAUUUUUUGAGUUUAAGCUACAAAUGGAUUGUAAAAAAAGUUUUUUUGGUCAUAAUUGAGACGUAUCAUGCCAAAUAAAAUCCUUAAGCCUAUGGCCCUCACAAAAUUAGUUAGCCUUUAAUAAAAAUUUAAGGUGUGUCAUAUUAAAUAACACCAAUAGUUUAUGGCCCUCAAAAGUUUAGUUCGAACAUCCUUUAAAAUUAGAAUUUUGAGAUGUGCACGUUAGUUGAAUUUUCAUGGCCCUCGCAAAAUUGAAAGUGCAUAGUUGCUUUAGGAGCGCUAUUUUAAAAAAAAAUUACUUUGCUAAACUCGGCUGUGUAUUUCAUGUGACCCAAAUCCAAAUCUCAACAGCGUUAAAUAAAACGUGUUUAUGGGUGCAUUUCGUGUGGCGUGGUUCAAAGACGCAUUUUAGAUAACGUUGAAUCUUCUUAAAAUUAAUUAAAAACGGCAAAUAAGUUUAAAAUAUACCAUAUGCUAAAACAUAUAUUAAAAUC